Molecule: ribosomal RNA, 359 nt
Filed under: uncultured bacterium
Lineage: Bacteria
Description: bacterial SSU rRNA
Rfam family: Bacterial small subunit ribosomal RNA
Source: RNAcentral
AACGAACGCUGGCGGCAGGCUUAACACAUGCAAGUCGAACGCCCCGCAAGGGGAGUGGCAGACGGGUGAGUAACGCGUGGGAAUCUACCCAGUUCUACGGAACAACACAGGGAAACUUGUGCUAAUACCGUAUACGCCCCAAGGGGGAAAGAUUUAUCGGAAUUGGAUGAGCCCGCGUUGGAUUAGCUAGUUGGUGAGGUAAUGGCUCACCAAGGCGACGAUCCAUAGCUGGUCUGAGAGGAUGAUCAGCCACACUGGGACUGAGACACGGCCCAGACUCCUACGGGAGGCAGCAGUGGGGAAUAUUGCGCAAUGGGCGAAAGCCUGACGCAGCCACGCCGCGUGAGCGAUGAAGGCCU